AACAAGGUCUCCGUUGGUGAACCAGCGGAGGGAUCAUUACCGAGUGUAAAAACUCCCAAACCAUUGUGAACCUACCACUGUUGCUUCGGCGGCCUCGCCCCGGGCGCGUUCGCGCGGCCCGGACCCAGGCGUCCGCCGGAGGCUCCAAACUCUUGUCUUUUAGUGUAUUUCUGAGUGGCAUAAGCAAAUAAAUCAAAACUUUCAGCAACGGAUCUCUUGGUUCUGGCAUCGAUGAAGAACGCAGCAAAAUGCGAUAAGUAAUGUGAAUUGCAGAAUUCAGUGAAUCAUCGAAUCUUUGAACGCACAUUGCGCCCGCCAGUAUUCUGGCGGGCAUGCCUGUCUGAGCGUCAUUUCAACCCUCAGGACCCGUUCGCGGGACCUGGCGUUGGGGAUCAGCCUGCCCCUGGCGGCGGCUGGCCCUGAAAUCCAGUGGCGGUUCCCUCGCGAACUCCUCCGUGCAGUAAUUAAACCUCUCGCGGCAGGAUAGCGGUUGAACCACGCCGUUAAACCCCCCACUUCUCAAGGUGACCUCAGAUCAGGUAGGAUAC
RNAcentral lists this ribosomal RNA (548 nucleotides) under Acremonium sp. CNU122033. RNAcentral describes it as "eukaryotic LSU rRNA". The stretch from base 197 to 350 matches the Rfam family "5.8S ribosomal RNA". Lineage: Eukaryota; Fungi; Ascomycota; Sordariomycetes; Hypocreales; Bionectriaceae. The record is from RNAcentral.